GCUGGAGGAGCUCAGUCGGCAGGACAGAGGACUGAAAAUCCUCG
This 44-nucleotide transfer RNA is filed under the name Acrobolbus flavicans. RNAcentral's name for it is "Tylimanthus flavicans partial tRNA-Phe". The record is from RNAcentral. Lineage: Eukaryota; Viridiplantae; Streptophyta; Jungermanniopsida; Jungermanniales; Acrobolbaceae.